GGAAUUUUGGACAAUGGGCGCAAGCCUGAUCCAGCCAUGCCGCGUGAGUGAAGAAGGCCUUCGGGUUGUAAAGCUCUUUCGGCGGGGACGAAACGGUCCGUGCCAACACCACGGCCUAAUGACGGUCCCUGCAGAAGAAGCACCGGCUAACUCCCUUCCAGCAGCCGGGGUAAUACGUAGGGUGCAGGCGUUAAUCGGAAUUACUGGGCGUAAAGCGUGCGCAGGCGGUUUGUUAAGACAGGUGUGAAAUCCCCGGGCUUAACCUGGGAAUUGCGCUUGUAACUGGCAGACUGGAGUGUGGCAGAGGGGGGUGGAAUUCCAAGUGUAGCAGUGAAAUGCGUAGAUAUUUGGAGGAACACCGAUGGCGAAGGCAGCCCCCUGGGUUAACACUGACGCUCAUGCACGAAAGCGUGGGGAGCA
RNAcentral lists this ribosomal RNA (420 nucleotides) under uncultured bacterium. Its description in RNAcentral is "bacterial SSU rRNA". It matches the Rfam family "Bacterial small subunit ribosomal RNA", at positions 358 to 770 of the family's 1533-position model. The record is from RNAcentral.